CAUGGAGGCCGGCUUACUGACUUUUAGGCUUCGGCUUUGGCCUACAAAGUGCACAUUAUUCUUGGUAUUCCACAAAGCAACAGAGUUAAGAAGUGAGAUUACAGCUCAAUCGUCCCUAUAAGAGUUCCAAGUUAGUAUAACAGUGGAAUGCUGGAGGACCACCAUUUGUCCAUUCUGAAUGAAAGGGAUAGCAAGCCAUGAGCAAUCUAUGGAAUUAGCGAUUUUUAAUGUGGCAAAGCAUUUCUGGAUACAGUGGCCUAGGAAGAAGUGCCAAAUGGGCUCCAUGGAUAGCUCAGAUGUUCCAGGGGAGCCUAUAUCUGAACAAGGGUAGCCUCAGCUGGCUGGUGGUCUUCCUUGGUUGACCACUAAGA
Long non-coding RNA from Anolis sagrei ordinatus, 371 nucleotides. RefSeq lists it as uncharacterized. The record is from RefSeq and is a predicted model, not a curated record. NCBI's taxonomy places the organism in Eukaryota, Metazoa, Chordata, Lepidosauria, Squamata, Anolidae.